This is a non-coding RNA of Myotis lucifugus (little brown bat), 75 nucleotides long. The record is from Rfam. Lineage: Eukaryota; Metazoa; Chordata; Mammalia; Chiroptera; Vespertilionidae.
GGUGGUUCUCAGGUGACGCAUCCCGAAAUCGGGCUCUCUCCUCUCCGGUUCCAGGUGCAUCAUCCAAGAACCGCA